AGAAUAUUAAAACCAGCGGUCAACUUGAAAACGGUAAUGGACUUGUCAAAUGCCUGGAAACGACCAGAACUCUCCGUCACCUUAUUUUCGUAUUUUGAAAUGCAAAGUUCCAGGUGUGAGGAGAGCAAACGUUUGGGGUUGCUUCAAACCGGAGCGGCAUCAGCUACACCCAAAUGCUGGAUUGAGUCUGCAAGAAGACAAGGAAGCAAAAGUGUUGGUGUCUCGAUGGUGACGACGAAGAGGCCGGCCGGAGAAAACAAGGCCAAGGAAGGCGGGCGAGAGAUUGCAGCUGGGAAACUGGGGCAGGAAAAAAAAGGUAAGAAAGAAAUGGACGUUUGGGCAGAGAAGCGAUGGAAGGAUGGGAUGAAAAGAUGCGGAGGUAAAGAGGACAAAUGACUGGAGGCGGAGCUUUUGUCCCUCGUGUCUUUGUGUCUCAAUGACUGCCGCUACUUUUAUGCUCCUGCCUUUUUUUUCAAUUCGAGUUCAAGCCCGCUAACGCAUCGAGCAAGAAAUAGGCCCUUGAUAAUAAUAUCAUAUAAAGUAAAAAAUAAUAACAAUAAUAAUAAAAUAAUAUAAUUUAUGAUCAUUUAAAAUGGCAAUGUUAAUGAGCAAAAAAAAAUAAAUAA
Syngnathus typhle (broad-nosed pipefish) is the source of this 626-nucleotide long non-coding RNA. RefSeq lists it as uncharacterized. Lineage: Eukaryota; Metazoa; Chordata; Actinopteri; Syngnathiformes; Syngnathidae. The record is from RefSeq and is a predicted model, not a curated record. The transcript is spliced from 3 exons.